CUGAAAUGUGCUUUGCUUAAAACGCAAGGACAUAGGAUGAGUUGGCGGCUGAUUAGCUAGUUGGCGAGGUAAUGGCUCACCAAGGCGAUGAUCAGUAGGGGCCCUGAAAGGGGUUGCCCCCAGAAUGGUACUGAGACACCGACCAUAGCCUUACGGGGUGCAGCAGGUUCGAAGACUUUCCAAUGUGCGAAAGCAUGAGAAGGAUAUCCCGAGUGCGUAUGUUUUACAUACGCUUUUGUCUAAUCUAAAAAGUUAGGAGAAUAAGUGGUGGGUAAGACUGGUGCCAGCCGCCGCGGUAACCCCAGCGCCACAAGUGGGAACCACGUUUAUUGGGUCUAAAGCGUUCGUAGCCGGCAUUGUAAGUUCUCUGUGAAAUUGUACAGCUUAACUGUGCAACGUGCAGAAAAGACUGCAAUGCUUGAGACUGGGAGAGGUCAGAGGUAUUCUUGGGGUACCGGUAAAAUGGGAUAAUCCUAAGAGGACCACCAUUAGCGAAGGCGUCUGACUAGAACAGAUCUGACGGUGAGGGACGAAAGCUAGGGGAGCGAAAAGGAUUAGAUACCCUUGUAGUCCUAGCCCUAAACGCUGUGAGCAAGAUGUUGCAUGAUCUUAGUGUUCGUGCAGAAUCGAAGAGAAGUCGUUAAGCUCACCACCUGGGAAGUACAGUCGCAAGGCCGAAACUUAAAGGAAUAGGCGGGGAAGCACACAAGGGGUGCGGCGUUCGGUUUAAUUCGAACUAGCGCGGGGAAUCUGACUAGAGGCGACUGCAAGAUGAUGACCAAAUUAAAGGUUUUGUCGGAUGCGCAGAGAGGUACUGCAUGGCCAUCGGCAGCUCGUGUUGUGAAAUGUCCAUUUAAGUAUGGUAACGAGCGAGAUUUGUGCUUACAAUUGCUAACAAGUUCGUAAGAAUGAUUGAGCACGUUGUAAGGACUGCCUUGGUAACAAGGAGGAAGGUGCAAGCCACGGUAGGUCAGUACGGUCCGAAUCUUCUAGGCUACACGUGCGCAACAAUGGUGGGAACAAUGGGAUGCAACUCUGAAAAGAGAAGCAAAUCCUCGAAAUCCCAUCCUGGUUUAGAUUGAGGGUUGUAACUCACCCUCAUGACAGCGGAAUCCCUAGUAAUCGGACUUUAUCAUGGUCCGGUGAAUAAGUCCCUGCUUCUUGCUCUCACUGCCCGUCAAAUCAACCGAGCACAGUUUAGAUGAGACUUGUCUUUAAGACAUAGCGAAUCUAAGCUGAGUGAGGUGGGUUAAGUCGACACAAGGUA
Molecule: ribosomal RNA, 1267 nt
Filed under: metagenome
Description: bacterial SSU rRNA
Rfam family: Archaeal small subunit ribosomal RNA
Source: RNAcentral